CUGAAAACGACGAUAUCCCAGAGGAGCCUGAAAAACUUAGUCCUGAAUCCAAGAUACUCGGCUCUAACAGAUCGGUUUGACUUCUAUCUUUUACCAGUUGGAAACCCUGAUGGUUAUGAGUAUAGUCAUACGACAGAUCGAAUGUGGAGAAAAAACAGAGCUUUUAAUCCUUUUACCCUGGGCUUAUGCAGGUUUAGAUAUAGGUCUAAGUCUAGGUCUAGGUCUAGGUCUAGAUCUAGGUCUA
Eurytemora carolleeae is the source of this 244-nucleotide long non-coding RNA. RefSeq lists it as uncharacterized. NCBI's taxonomy places the organism in Eukaryota, Metazoa, Arthropoda, Copepoda, Calanoida, Temoridae. The record is from RefSeq and is a predicted model, not a curated record. The transcript is spliced from 4 exons.